GACGAACGCUGGCGGCGUGCUUAACACAUGCAAGUCGAACGGAAAGGCCCUGCUUUUGUGGGGUGCUCGAGUGGCGAACGGGUGAGUAACACGUGAGUAACCUGCCCUUGACUUUGGGAUAACUUCAGGAAACUGGGGCUAAUACCGGAUAGGAGCUCCUGCUGCAUGGUGGGGGUUGGAAAGUUUCGGCGGUUGGGGAUGGACCCGCGGCUUAUCAGCUUGUUGGUGGGGUAGUGGCUUACCAAGGCUUUGACGGGUAGCCGGCCUGAGAGGGUGACCGGCCACAUUGGGACUGAGAUACGGCCCAGACUCCUACGGGAGGCAGCAGUGGGGAAUAUUGCACAAUGGGCGGAAGCCUGAUGCAGCAACGCCGCGUGCGGGAUGACGGCCUUCGGGUAGGAAACCGCUUUCGCCUGUGACGAAGCGUGAGUGACGGUAAUGGGUAAAGAAGCACCGGCUAACUACGUG
This 468-nucleotide ribosomal RNA is filed under the name uncultured bacterium. RNAcentral's name for it is "partial 16S ribosomal RNA". It matches the Rfam family "Bacterial small subunit ribosomal RNA", at positions 28 to 507 of the family's 1533-position model. The record is from RNAcentral.